CGCAAGAGAACCGGAGCGACAGGUGCUGCAUGGUUGUCGUCAGCUCGUGUCGUGAGAUGUUGGGUUAAGUCCCGCAACGAGCCGCAACCCCUACGUUUAGUUGCUAACGCGUGAAGGCGAGCACUCUAGACGAACUGCCGUUGACAAAACGGAGGAAGGUGGGAUGACGUCAAAUCAUCAUGCCCCUUAUGUUCUGGGCUACACACGUGCUACAAUGGCCGGUACAGACGGAGGCGAAGCCGCGAGGCGGAGCAAAUCCGAAAAAAGCCGGUACUCAGUUCGGAUUGCAGGCUGCAAUUCGCCUGCAUGAAGUCGGAAUCGCUAGUAAUCGCAGGUCAGCAUACUGCGGUGAAUACGUUCCCGGGCCUU
RNAcentral lists this ribosomal RNA (369 nucleotides) under uncultured Pelotomaculum sp. Its description in RNAcentral is "bacterial SSU rRNA". It matches the Rfam family "Bacterial small subunit ribosomal RNA", at positions 1018 to 1382 of the family's 1533-position model. The record is from RNAcentral. Lineage: Bacteria; Bacillati; Bacillota; Clostridia; Eubacteriales; Desulfotomaculaceae.